GAUUACCACAUAAAAAUUAUCUGGUGACUCAGCAGCCAAAAAUGCUCCAGUCUAAGAAGAGCUCUGGGGAGGGAGGCUGUACAGCGCCACUUAGAGCGCGAAGGCCAUUCUUCUCCGAUAGCAGCGGCUGCGAGAGCCUCUCUCCCAAGCUGGUCCACGGGGCUUCACGUUCAUCAGGGCAGAUUCUGCAGCGGACUCUUCACUUGGACUGAAUAGGCAGAGAUUGAUUGGCGGCGAAGGAUUUUUUCCAGGGGACUUUGAAGAUGUUUAUUCUUCUUCUGAGUGGAAAUUUACACAGGCUUGACUGGGCCCCCCAGUGAAAGUGACCCUGGACAGAUAAGCAGAAUUCCAUUGGGAAUUCCGAUCGGUAUGUGUGCUGGGGUGGAGUGGGGAGGGAUACAGCCACUGCUCAGGUCUUCAGAGAUCGGGGAAACACCUAAAGACCUCUACAGGAUCCUUUUGUUAAAGAUCAUGACAAUCUGGAGCCCAUCUUGGCAGUACAGGACACAAAGCAGGAGCACACCAUGAGGAGCAGUGUCAGUGUGGAUUUGUGGCAUGGGCUCGAAAUCCUUCGUUAAAGGGUUGUGGGUUCACAUGAGGUACUGAUUGGCCACCAGCCUGGACACAGCAAUUAAGGGAUCCCAAGAGUUGUGAAGGAGAGGACCCACUUUGUCUGCCAUUGAAAUGCAGCUCCACCUGUGUGAUGUGCAGCAAGCCCAUGUCCCAGCAGAUCAGGGGGAGAAUUGAGAAAUGGCUUCACCACAUGGAUUAAGGGGAAACUAGGGAGGCCAGAUUGUGCAAACCCAGAGUGGAAUUGAGCCAGGAUUAAGGCCUCAACCUGUGCAAAUGCUACCAUGAGAUCUUUAAUGACCAAGUAGUCAUGACCUUUCGGUUAAUGUCUCAUCCUAAGGCUGGCAGCUCCACAGCACAGUCUCACCAGUGACCGUGCUGGGGCAUUGACUUGAAAACUCUGGUCCAGUAGAAAAUCUACAUCCACCACUUGCAGAAGUUACCUGUUCUUCUUUGGAGGUCUCCCAUUCCAGUACUGAUUGGCGCAGCCUUGCUUAGCUUCCAAGAUCUGACAAGAUCCAAUACCAUUUUUGAGGUGGUAAUCCUGUGCCUAGAAUUGCAGUAUGCUCCUGUAUGUGAAAAUAUUUGGGGAGAAAAUGCACAAUGCCACCAAUCCCAUUUAUAGGAAAUAGGACCGGUUUGUAUAUUGAAUUUUUCAGAAUAAAAGCUGAA
Long non-coding RNA from Lepisosteus oculatus (spotted gar), 1242 nucleotides. RefSeq lists it as uncharacterized. Lineage: Eukaryota; Metazoa; Chordata; Actinopteri; Semionotiformes; Lepisosteidae. The record is from RefSeq and is a predicted model, not a curated record.